RNAcentral lists this long non-coding RNA (2763 nucleotides) under Homo sapiens (human). RNAcentral's name for it is "HSALNT0387965". The record is from RNAcentral. Lineage: Eukaryota; Metazoa; Chordata; Mammalia; Primates; Hominidae.
GUUCCGAGUCCGCCGCUCCCUCCCGAGCGGCCGCGGGGCCCAGGCGGAGGCGGGAAGGGCCGCGGCUCCCGGCUUCUGUUCCGUCAGCGGACGCGCCCCUCCCCGACCUGCUCUUCUCGCCGGCCCCGGGCGAAGGGGCGGGGUGGGCGCGGGGCCGAGGAAGCCAGGUAGGAACCCCCUCCGGGGUGGGGCGAGGCCCGCGGGGAAGGAAGGAGGGAGGCGGCGUGUGGCCCUGGGUUCGCGGGCCCCGUCCACCAAGCCCUGGUGCUUCUCGGUGGGAGGCCUCAGGAUGUGGCCUCUCCCCGCACGGCCGAGAUGCUUUUCCCGGUGCCGCCAGCGGCUGCAGCCGCUCCGGGGUGGCCCUCAGGAAGCGUGAGGUCCGGGGGCCUCCAGCAGCCCCUCUCCACCUGCACCAGGAGGCGGACUGUGGAGGCUGCAGGCUCUUACUGCCUCUCGGCUUUGGAUCUAUCCGGAGACACCAUCCAGAGGCGUAGGGACUGUGGUGUUGUUCACAACGUGUCGUUAUUUAAAAGUAUCGGGGUCGGGCGCGCCUGUAACCCCAGCACUUGGGGAGGCCGAGGCGGGCAGAUCACUUGACGUCAGGAGUUCGAGACCAGCCUGACCACCACGGUGAAACCCCGUCUCUACUAAAAAUACAAAAUUAGCCAGGUGUGGUGGUGCCUGUCUGUAGUCCCAGCUACUCUGGAGGCUGAGGCAGGAGAAUCGCUUGAACCUGGGAGGCAGAGGUUGCAGUGAGCCGAGAUCACGCCACUGCACUCCAGCCUGGGCCACAGAGCAGGACUCUGUCUCAAAAAACAAACAAACAAACAAACAAAAAAACAGUUAUCGGGACAGGCGUCUAAACUUGAAUGAAUUGGAAUACAUUUCAUUUGUGCCAAGCACCAAUCACAUGGAUGAAGACAGGAAUUUCAGUAUCAUUGGCUUCUGUCCUUUAGGAACUACCAGCUUUAUUUUGCUUUGGUCUGUAUCUUCCUCAGCUAACAAACGUAGGGGGUGGGAAAUACAGUUCAUUUAUGUUACUACAAAUGAAAGGUAUGACGGGUCUCCUCAGAUCACCGUCAUGCAAAAUGCUGACCAAAAUCCCGUAUGAGGACUUCGGAACAGCUGGGCUCGGCUCUCUGGGCCACGAUUUGCUGGUCCGUGAAAUGAGAGGGAGGCUGGAUCACUAGCUCUUUAACGGUCUUCCAGCUCUAGAUUCUUAUGAGUCUAUGACUUUUACAAAGUGGCAGAUGAUUUCUGUUAGGUGCCAGUUAAAUUACUUUAACACGGCAGUUAGUGAUGUAGGAACUGGUGUAGAGUGAGCACAGCUUUUGUUUUUUUCAAUUUGGAUUCAUUCAUGAUGGAGUCUGAAGAUGUUUCUCAGGUUUAAAAGAUAGUUUUCCUUCAGUGGUAGUAUCAGUUACUAGGCUGUGACCUUUUGGAAUGAAUGUAGCCUCUAACAUCUUCCUAUAUGUGGUUAAGAAAAGGGACUUAGCCAACAGGACGGUGGCAGACAGCCUCAAGAAAAGCCUCAAACUUCGUCCACUUAGGGCAACAUCUCUAACUCCCAAAUUCACUGCUGACAUACUCAGUGAAAGGAGAAAGCCACUUCAGGUUGGUCCCAAGAUAUCUGACAAAUGCGACGCUCUCUUUAUUUUCACAUUCGCUUGUGGACAAAACCAGCUACCUGUGAACUCUCCAUUCUCUCCAGGAAAACGACUCUGUGCAGUCCACUGUCUCUUUCCUAAGCAUUUAUCACAGUGACCUCCAGCGCCAGUGUUUCCAGAGAGUGACAGGUGGUUACAAGUCCUCCCUGCCUUCCCUCCUUAAAGGGAGCAGCAGCUUGGCAGUGAGUAUGCUGGCACCUUUGAGUGGUGGGAACCAGUCUCCCCUACACAAGAAGCUGUAAGGCAUCUUUAUGAGUUGAAAACAAAACAACCGAUGUUUCAUGUAUAGAAAAUAGCAAGUAAAGGCCGGGCGCAGUGGCUCAUGCCUGUCAUCCCAGCACUUUGGGAGGCCGAGGCGGGCGGAUCACGAGGUCAGGAGAUCGAAACCAUCCUGGCUAACAUGGUGAAACCCGGCCUCUACUAAAAAUACAAAAAGUUAGCCGGGCGUGGUGGCGGGCGCCUGUAGUCCCAGCUACUCGGGAGGCUGAGGCAGGAGAAUGGCAUGAACCCGGGAGGCGAAGGUUGCAGUGAGCCAAGAUCGUGCCACUGCACUCCAUCCUGGGCAACAGAGCAAGACUCUGUCUCAAAUAAAAAAAAAAAAAAGAAAAAAGAAAAUAGCAAGUAAGAUCAGUUUCAACACCAUGCUCAGUGAAGUCACCAGACUGUUUAUGUUGAAUCACCAUAAAGCUAACAAGCAGAAACAUGAACCUUAGCUUUUCAAGCGAUCAAACCCCUGUCGGCAAAUGGUAAGGCCAAAUGAAAAACACGGGGCCUGGUUUACACAAACUUCCCCUCAUCCUUCAAAAGUCUCGAAUCAGCUGUUUCCUUCUCUAAGAAGGUUUCCAGGUCUGCCUUUGGGUUUGGGUAACGAGGCUGUUGUUUUCUCAUUUGUAUGUUUCUCCACCAGACUGUUAGGUCCUAGAAACAAGGACUGUGUCUUUUCAUUUUGUACCCCAAGUGAGGCUGGCACAUUCUGAGGGUGCAAUACAUGUUUCAUACUUUCCAAAGCUCAUACCUGUUGAGUACUUACUGUUUGCUAGGUCCUAUGUCAGAUGUUUUGUCUACAUUGUCUCAUUAAAUCCUCACAACAGAUGUU